This 433-nucleotide long non-coding RNA is filed under the name Olea europaea (common olive). RNAcentral describes it as "long non-coding RNA (OEUR_LNC012767)". The record is from RNAcentral. Lineage: Eukaryota; Viridiplantae; Streptophyta; Magnoliopsida; Lamiales; Oleaceae.
UUCAAUCUAUGCAGACGAGAUCUCUCCACCCAGAUAAGCAGUGAAAAUUAAAUUUGCAUUUGAAGGCUACAUUUGAAGUCGUCGUUGAAGAUGUAUAAUAUAUUUAUUCUGCCUCUUACUCAUCAGUCAACAGAGAAGUAUCAACAAAUUCCUUGGAGGCUUUUACAAAUAAACUGUUUUAUAGGUGAAGAAAGCUGUAAAUAUCAUUUUUGCGCCCUCUUUCUGUCAUUGGUUUAGCGUGCUACUACCUUCUUUUCCAUUCUCUCUGUCGGCUCAUAAAAAAAUCCAUCGUUUAAUGUGUACAGGUCAUCAACUCCUAUUUAUUUAAUCUGAUUUUUGUUAACCAGCAAAAACAACAUUUUGCAUCCCGAGGCACCCCUCCCCCAUUGGUUAAAAAAAAGCUCGAUCUUAACAACGUUCAAGGCAUUUUUUU